UACACAAAACAUGGGGCUUAAACUCACGACCCCGAGAUCAAGAGUCACGUGCUCCUCCGAAGGAACCAGCCAGGCCCCCCCCCCCCGAACUUCGCAGCCUCUUGACUGCCCCCGUCCCUGCUACCCCACAUCCAGUCUCCCCAAGGCCCACUGUGGCCUUCCCAAAGGGCACAUGUGGCCUCAGGGCACAGGGCAUGCCCUUUGGGCAGCGGCUCCCAGGCCCUCCUGAGCAGCCCUUCCUUGCCCUCUGCCCCCCCAGGAUGACUGAAUGGCUGUGUCUGCCUCCCAUCACCUCCCCUCCUCCCCUCCUCCCCUUCGCCCCCCACACCAGACACCCCUCUCCGAGAAGCUGCCCCCCAGGGCCCCAGCCUGGCUCGGCUGCCACUCCCUGGGGUCCCCAAGGCCCCUAGGACGUCCCCCUCCCUCUGCAUGGAUCACGUCUCUCUGGCAUCCUCUGUGCCUGUCUGCACCUCCCCCGGGGCGGGAUCCUGUAUGCUGCCCCUCCCCCCUUCACCUCCAGGAUCCGGUGAAGGGCCUGGCUUGGCAUGGGGGCAAAGGAAAUCUCCGUGGGAGAGGGGCUGGAGCAUCAGCGGGGCCAGGACCCCCUCCCCGCUCCUCCCCUCUCUCAGCCAGGGCGGGGCAGGGCCAGGGAUGGUCACCAUGUUGGAAUCAGAAGGGGAUUUUUCACUCCGAGAUUAAAUAUCUAAAUAAGGUAGGGCCCGGAAACUGUCCACGGUAGCUGGUGGCAGAUCAAAUGUGACCUGGGGCCCUGCCCGAAUAAGGAGACAGUUGCCCAGGCAAUAGAGCCAGGAUUUUGUGUUGGCAGGGCUGACAGGACGGGAGAUCCAGAGCCAGGAAACCUGACAUUCAGGACACAUGCCCGGGAGAGAGGGAAGGACAGAGCUGAGCAGUCCAGCUCAAAGGAUCUUGAAAGGGCAGGGGAAAGCCUUCCCCCCUGAUAAGUCAUGACCAUUCACGUCCCUGCACUGAGGUCACGUUCAAAUUGAAAAAAGAAGAAGAAGGAAAACAACCCC
This is a long non-coding RNA of Acinonyx jubatus (cheetah), 1034 nucleotides long. RefSeq lists it as uncharacterized. The record is from RefSeq and is a predicted model, not a curated record. The transcript is spliced from 2 exons. NCBI's taxonomy places the organism in Eukaryota, Metazoa, Chordata, Mammalia, Carnivora, Felidae.